UAGAGGCUUGAAUCAACCCAGUGAGAUGCAGGGUGGGAUUGUGCUAAAAUAUUUUUUUUUAGAUAACGAUUCUGAGGUUCAGACAAACUUUCCCAAAGUCACCCAGCCAGUGAGUGACAGAGGGUACUUCUGAAUGCACUCUGGUUGUCCUUCCUUCCAUGGCCCUCUGUGUUUCCAGGCCGCAUGGAGCUUUCAAGAGGUUCAGCAUGAGUAGCAAUGUCUGUGCGGUGUUUCCAUGUUCAUAAGGCAAGGGCACUGAUGGUGAGAUCUGAGCAGCAUCUAACCGGUUAAGGAGGUGUCCCUUCAAUGGCCACCUAUCAUCGCUCUCCAAGGAAACUGGAGAUGUCCAACCCAUUUGGAGGGAAGCCUGGAGCCUGUGGGAAGAGUUUGGGCUGGCGCCUGGGUGGCAGCUAACAUGAUACAUCUCCAGGGAAUUUUGUGAUCGGUGCAUGAAGAUUUGCAGAGAGAUGAGGGACCACACCCAGGUUGCCACCUUGACCCUCGUCUGCAGCGGUGGCCUGCUCGCAGGGGCUCGGCCCGAGGAGUGGCUUUGAGAGCAGUCUUUGUGGGCAUCCUGGUGUCAACAGUGACAAGGAAUUGAAAUGAAAAAUGGUCUGACCCAUGGCAAAAAGGCAACAGCAUCAGCAAUAUACCUGGAGAUGUUAUGGAUCUGAAAUGAGGGGCUUCCACGCUAUCUUUGAUGAUGUUUAAACAUCGUGUUUACUGGACCCACACAGAGGCUGUAAUGGGCUGAACGUCUCGGUCCCCUCAAAGUUCACCUAUGUUCAAAGCCGAAUCCCAAGAGGAUGUUACUUGGAGGUGGGGCCUUCUGAGAGGUCAUUAUGUCGCGAGGAU
Non-coding RNA from Ictidomys tridecemlineatus (thirteen-lined ground squirrel), 855 nucleotides. Lineage: Eukaryota; Metazoa; Chordata; Mammalia; Rodentia; Sciuridae. The record is from RefSeq and is a predicted model, not a curated record.